GUAAUCAAGUAUGAACGUAGUCCAUGAUUCAGAUCAAUCCACGAUCAAUCCGAAUAUACUGAAAAAUGGGGUUUUUAACAACUGUGAACAGGCAAUCGGUGUUACCGAUUUUACUUGGCAUAUCUUUAACAACUUUUGGACUAUCAGUGGCAAUUUUGUUGUAUACUAUGGUUGAAAAGGAUGAUGAUGAUAAAAAGAAAUAUAAUCAGAUAGCAACAUCUAAACGCAAAGAAAUUUGUGUAGAAUUUAAAAUUCCUGAGAAAUAUGUAUCUGCUGUCAUUGGUAAAGGUGGAACUGUUAUAAGAAAUAUAGAAGAAUUAACUAAUACACAUAUUAAAAUGGAAAAGGCAAACUUAUCUUGUCUAGAUCGUGUCUGUUACCUUCGGUCUGAUAACACAGAAAACAUUUACUCAGCACAGAAUAUGAUACAAUCUAUAAUAAACAAUCUACCUGUCAUCGAAACCUUUGAAUUGUUUAUUCCUUACGAAGUUUCUAAAAGAAUUUUUAAAAGAAAUUGGAAUGAUAUUGGAUUUGCACAAAUGAUUCAAAAAACUCAUGGUACAAAACUUAUACUUGAGAGUGAACCUCAUAAAACUGAAACUGGAUUCAAGAGAAGGAUAAUACUAAAGGGAACUGUUGAUCAAAUAGCAGCAGCCAUUAAUCAAAUAGAAGACAAAGUUCAAGAUGAAAUUGUAGCUGAAGAUAAACUAGGAAUGCAAGUUGCGGCUGCAAUAAUAUCUACAUCCGAACAUGUUGAUACUGAUAUUAAAAAUACAACAGACAAUUCUGAUAUUGAAAUUUAUCAGUUAUUAGUGCCACAUGAAGCUUGUGGAACGAUCAUAGGAAGAAAUGGAUACACAGUGCAAGAAAUUGAAAAAAUCUCUGGCGCAAAAAUCAUGCUUGAAAAUGUUAAUGAAAGUGAUCAAAGAACUGUAACAAUAAUUGGGACUGGUAAACAAAUAGAACUAGCUACUAAUCAGAUAAAAAAUAAAAUUAAAGAGGAUACUGAAUUUCAUAACGAAGGGAAUUAUCAAUCUACAAAGACCAUAAAAAGAAUAUUUGAUUCUCCAUGUAACAAUGAUGGUGUAAUGGAAAUCUAUGUAUCUGCAAUGGAAACGCCAAGUUUGUUUUGGAUUCAAGUGGUUGGUACUGCAAAUACUGAUUUACAAGAUUUAGUGCACAAUAUGACAAAGUAUUAUGAUGACAAUGAAAAUCGUCAGCUUCAUACUUUAAAAAACAUAACAGUAGGCCAAAUGGUAGCAGCCAAAUUUAAAUAUGACAACAAGUGGUAUCGUGCAGAAGUUAUAUCCAUCAUAGAAUCUUUUGAAUACAAAGUCUUUUUUGUGGAUUAUGGAGAUUUGGAAAUUGUUUCUAUAGAUGAUAUAUUAGAACUUCGUACAGACAUGUUAAGCUUACGCCUACAGGCUGUAGAGUGUUCAUUGGCAAACGUAAAGCCACGAGAAAGUAAGUGGAGCUCCGAAGCUAAUGACAAGUUCGCCGAACUUACUCAUUUAGCGAGAUGGAAACCGCUCGUUGCUCAAGUUAAAGGCUACAAAGAACGUCCGGUUGGUUACGGAGGAUCACGCCGUGAAAAUUCACUGAUUCCUUGUAUUGAUCUGUGUGACAAAGAUAACGAUAAGGACAUUAAUAUUGGAGACAGUUUGAUACAAUUGGGAAUGGCUCAAAUUGGAAAGCUUGGAUCAUAAGAUUCAACGAUGGCGGUUUUAACGGUGGUUUUAAUGUGCUGCUGUCUUUCGAUCUGGGCAAUAGCAACUGGUCAUUAUGUCUAAAUUGAGAUAUUCGUUUGACAGCAAAUUCGGUGUUGUCUCGUGAUAAAUGUCAUCUUCCAUUUACACCAUCUUUACCUGAUUCUUUAUAUCUUGACUGAACGCGGU
Cyphomyrmex costatus is the source of this 1895-nucleotide RNA transcript. It is a transcript of the gene named tudor and KH domain containing protein papi, with no coding region annotated. Lineage: Eukaryota; Metazoa; Arthropoda; Insecta; Hymenoptera; Formicidae. The record is from RefSeq and is a predicted model, not a curated record. The transcript is spliced from 10 exons.